GGGUGGGGAGCCAAUACAUUUAACCUUAGAAAGAAGAAGAAAAUCAAGUCAGAUUCCCAAGGCAGCAACAUCUGUUAUUCCCAAUUCAAAGGAGAGUGAAUUAAGGCCAGGUUCUUCCAAAAGACUAAAUGCUGUGCAUCCAUAGUAGGAAUGGUAUAUAUCGGGCAGCUCACCUGGAAAUUUACCAAAACCACCAUACUUGGAUUGGCAAGUUAUCAAAAAUUCACGUAAAGCUUUCCCAUCAAUCAAUUUGUAGCCUCCUAAAAUCCUCAAAACUGCUCCAACCCAAAAUGCAUAACAUGUGUCACUAGGUUUGUUUGGUCUACCUUGAAAACCACCAUCAGCUGCUUGUCUCUGCAAGCACCAUUCCAGCAACAAUGGAAGGUCUAUGACGGAAGAUGCUCCACUUGUAGACAGAAUGUCAUCUUCCAUAAAACCCAUCAAUCGUAGUGAUGCAACUGCACAGUAAGUUCCACCACCAUGAGAUUCUGAGCCAGGAACCAUCCCAAAG
This 511-nucleotide unclassified non-coding RNA is filed under the name Hevea brasiliensis (rubber tree). Lineage: Eukaryota; Viridiplantae; Streptophyta; Magnoliopsida; Malpighiales; Euphorbiaceae. The record is from RNAcentral.